AAAAGGUAGAAAGAGUUUGAAAGAUGAACUGGAAGAAGACUAAUCUAUGAAUGGUUAGCAAAAAUGAUAAAGAAGUAAAAUGACAUUUGAUCUCAAAACAUAUGCAUAUAGUGUCACUAAAAAAUUCAUUGGAUUUGCUAUCAUACUGCUGUGAUGCACUUUUGAGAGUCCAGAAUUUUCCUCCAACACCAAUUAGACCAAACCGGAAAAACUUAAUAAGUUGAUUUUGCUUAGUAAGACUUGAAAAAUUAACCUACUUAAUUCAGAAUGUCAAAUGGCACAUUGCAGAUAAUACAGUGCCCAGUUAU
This 308-nucleotide unclassified non-coding RNA is filed under the name Hevea brasiliensis (rubber tree). Lineage: Eukaryota; Viridiplantae; Streptophyta; Magnoliopsida; Malpighiales; Euphorbiaceae. The record is from RNAcentral.